Molecule: transfer RNA, 87 nt
Filed under: Pseudomonadota bacterium
Lineage: Bacteria; Pseudomonadati; Pseudomonadota
Description: Proteobacteria bacterium (groundwater metagenome) tRNA-Leu
Rfam family: tRNA
About the family: Transfer RNA (tRNA) molecules are approximately 80 nucleotides in length. Their secondary structure includes four short double-helical elements and three loops (D, anti-codon, and T loops).
Source: RNAcentral
GCCGAAGUGGCGGAAUUGGUAGACGCGCUAGGUUCAGGGUCUAGUGGGGGUUCCCUCGUGAAGGUUCAAGUCCUUUCUUCGGCACCA